Molecule: long non-coding RNA, 749 nt
Filed under: Mus musculus (house mouse)
Lineage: Eukaryota; Metazoa; Chordata; Mammalia; Rodentia; Muridae
Description: predicted gene 45285
Source: RNAcentral
AGCUCCCACACAAUGUGCAGCAACGGAAUCUGGGGGGACCGGCUCUCCGCCUCGGGAUCUCUACGAUGGGAACUGACAUACACUUCACCUACCAGAGAGGAUGAUGACAGCAUCCGAGAUGAAGGAACAGGACCUCAUCCUCAGCCCUGCCACAGAGGUUCCUGCUGUAGCCGUUAGCGGACAUCCAGUUUGAAGGAAAAAGAGGCAUCAUACAGGUGAUUAAGUGUGAUCCAAAACUAUUUCAAAUCUGUUAUUUAAGAUCAACUUAGGAUGAUAAUCCAACCCACUAAACAAUUGAGCCUUCCAGAGAGUCACUGCAAGACUACAUACACUGCCUUAGGUUGGAUUCCUAGCAAUCCCCACAACUACAUGACCUUCAGCAAACUCUUAAUCCAAUCUCCAAUGUGAGGUACAGACAACCUAAUAUCUACCUUGGAGCUGCUGCGCACAACAGUAGCUGAGACGGUGACAUCAGAUACCUAACAGAGGGGUGCACUUAGGAAAGGCCGGGAGCUGCCAUUUCCACAGCCAAGUCAAUGAUAUGGACGUGAGGCAGGCGGUGAAAACCAGGGCGGAGCUUCGUCCCGGGUGAGGAGCAUCCAGCACACUUGAGGUGGGCAGGGAAAGAGAAGUGAGGCAGAAGAGGCAGCAGCAAGGGGCACCUUCCCUGCCUGACCCACUUGUUCUGAAAACCACCUGACCUCUUGUUUUUCUCAAAAAUGACACAAAUUAAUAUAGUCAUUUUAUUU